GCGGUGGAAGCUCGCCCAGGUGGCACCUGCUGUACUGCUCCAUGGUAGCGCGCUCGUACAGGCCAGCGAUGGGCUGGUAGGGGUUCACUGAUGCGAUGAUGGAGCCGAUGUAGGUCUGCAAGCAGAGGGGAAAGAUCAGAUCAGAAUGAAGGAAGCUACUUCUUCUCCAGCAGCCUGCCUGCCUACUGCUACAUUCGCCACCAUGAUGAUAAUGAACUAACCCUCUGAAGCAGUAAGCAAGCCUCAAUUAAAUGCUUCCAAUGAGUU
This is a long non-coding RNA of Rattus norvegicus (Norway rat), 267 nucleotides long. RefSeq lists it as uncharacterized. Lineage: Eukaryota; Metazoa; Chordata; Mammalia; Rodentia; Muridae. The record is from RefSeq and is a predicted model, not a curated record.